This 86-nucleotide transfer RNA is filed under the name Clostridiales bacterium. RNAcentral's name for it is "tRNA-Tyr". It matches the Rfam family "tRNA". Rfam says of the family: Transfer RNA (tRNA) molecules are approximately 80 nucleotides in length. Their secondary structure includes four short double-helical elements and three loops (D, anti-codon, and T loops). Further hydrogen bonds mediate the characteristic L-shaped molecular structure. tRNAs have two regions of fundamental functional importance: the anti-codon, which is responsible for specific mRNA codon recognition, and the 3' end, to which the tRNAs corresponding amino acid is attached (by aminoacyl-tRNA synthetases). tRNAs cope with the degeneracy of the genetic code in two manners: having more than one tRNA (with a specific anti-codon) for a particular amino acid; and 'wobble' base-pairing, i.e. permitting non-standard base-pairing at the 3rd anti-codon position. Lineage: Bacteria; Bacillati; Bacillota; Clostridia; Eubacteriales. The record is from RNAcentral. RNAcentral also lists the same sequence under 1 other name.
GGGAGGAUUCCCGAGCGGCCAAAGGGGGCAGACUGUAAAUCUGUUGUCUUACGACUACGAUGGUUCAAAUCCAUCUCCUCCCACCA